This 391-nucleotide non-coding RNA is filed under the name Solanum tuberosum (potato). Its description in RNAcentral is "Bacterial large subunit ribosomal RNA". It matches the Rfam family "Bacterial large subunit ribosomal RNA", at positions 311 to 689 of the family's 2925-position model. The record is from Rfam by way of RNAcentral. Lineage: Eukaryota; Viridiplantae; Streptophyta; Magnoliopsida; Solanales; Solanaceae.
UCGGCAUUGAAUCUCUUGCAAACUAAUGGAUGUAAAUAAAUAGCGUGCCCCUCCACUAAAACGGGCUAGAAUUCCAGUAGCCGAAAGCAUCACUAGCUUACACUCUAACCCGAGUAGCAUGGGGCACGUGGAAUCCCGUGUGAAUCAGCAAGGACCACCUUGCAAGGCUAAAUACUCCUAGGUGACCGAUAGCGAAGUAGUACCGUGAGGGAAGGGUAAAAAUAACCCCCAUCGGGGAGUGAAAUAGAACAUGAAACCGUAAGCUCCCAAGCAGUGGGAGGAGCCAGGGCUCUGACCGCGUGCCUGUUGAAGAAUGAGUCGGCGAUCCAUAGGCAGUGGCUUGGUUAAGGGAACCCACCGGAUCUUACCUCUUUUGAAAGGAGUCAAUAAA